RNAcentral lists this ribosomal RNA (315 nucleotides) under uncultured eukaryote. RNAcentral describes it as "partial 18S ribosomal RNA". It matches the Rfam family "Eukaryotic small subunit ribosomal RNA", at positions 1470 to 1796 of the family's 1831-position model. The record is from RNAcentral.
CCCUUAGACGUUCUGGGCCGCACGCGCGCUACACUGACCAGUGCAACAAGCAUCCGUCCUUGGCCGACAGGCUCGGGCAAUCUUUGAACGCUGGUCGUGAUGGGGAUAGACUUUUGCAAUUUUUGGUCUUCAACGAGGAAUUCCUAGUAAACGCAAGUCAUCAACUUGCAUUGAUUACGUCCCUGCCCUCUGUACACACCGCCCGUCGCACCUACCGAUUGAAUGGUCCGGUGAAGCCUCCGGAUUGGCGCGCACCUCGGUGCCGCCGAGAAGUUGGCUAAACCUUACCAUUUAGAGGAAGGUGAAGUCGUAACA